RNAcentral lists this ribosomal RNA (381 nucleotides) under uncultured eukaryote. RNAcentral describes it as "partial 18S ribosomal RNA". It matches the Rfam family "Eukaryotic small subunit ribosomal RNA", at positions 592 to 976 of the family's 1831-position model. The record is from RNAcentral.
CAAUAGCGUAUAUUAAAGCUGUUGCGGUUAAAAAGCUCGUAGUUGGAUUUCUGUCAAGGACAACUGGUCCGCCCCUCGGGUGAGCACAUAGUUUGGUCUUGGCAUCUUGUUGGAAACUGUUGCUGCACUUGGUUGUGUGGCGCAGUGUCCAGCACUUUCACUUUGAGGAAAUUGGAGUGUUUCAAGCAGGCACAUGCCUUUGGACACAGUAGCAUGGAAUAAUUAGAUUGGGCUUUUGCUCCAACUUGUCGGUUUCUGGAGCUGAGGUGAGAAUUAAUGGGGAUUGUUGGGGGCAUCCGAAUUUAGCCGCCAGAGGUGAAAUUCUUGGAUCUGCUAAAGACGGACAACUGCGAAAGCGUUUGCCCAGGAUGUUUUCAUUGA